RNAcentral lists this long non-coding RNA (519 nucleotides) under Ailuropoda melanoleuca (giant panda). RNAcentral's name for it is "lncRNA (ENSAMEG00000023688.1)". The record is from RNAcentral. Lineage: Eukaryota; Metazoa; Chordata; Mammalia; Carnivora; Ursidae.
GAGAUAGUGGGGAAAUGGCAGUGCCCCAUCAUGAACACCUGUGAGACACAUCUCAGGUUUUGAGACACUUGUGGUGAGGGGUGGGGAAGGCGUUCUCAAGGAGCUGGAAGCCCUGCAUUCUUACAUUGGCCCAAGAGCAAGGAAACUUUGAAUUUGUACUGUUUCAAUGAUUCAGUCUGUAUUUUACAGGCAUAUGCAGUUUGGGAAAACUUGGGUUAUGCCUUGUUUUAUAGGAUGAUUUUCAGUGAGCUGUGAUGGAGAGACAUGGACCAGCAUGGAGCAUUUGGGAACACCAGGCCUAAAGAAGCCAUCUGUCCUGAAUGUAAGGCCCAACAAGUGUCUUGAACAACACAUGAAAAACACUUGGGACAGAGUACCGACCUGACCCACAGAACUGUGAGUAAAAAUAAAUGCUUAUUGUUCUAUGCUACUGAUAUCGCUGAGUUUGUUAUAUGACCUUGUUGUGGCAGUAGUUGACUGGUACUAUUAUGUAAACAAAUGAUCUAUAUACACUUGUAU